AAGCGGUGGAGCAUGUGGUUUAAUUCGAUGCAACGCGAAGAACCUUACCUACUCUUGACAUCCAGAGAACUUUCCAGAGAUGGAUUGGUGCCUUCGGGAACUCUGAGACAGGUGCUGCAUGGCUGUCGUCAGCUCGUGUUGUGAAAUGUUGGGUUAAGUCCCGCAACGAGCGCAACCCUUAUCCUUGUUUGCCAGCGAGUAAUGUCGGGAACUCCAGGGAGACUGCCGGUGAUAAACCGGAGGAAGGUGGGGACGACGUCAAGUCAUCAUGGCCCUUACGAG
This 282-nucleotide ribosomal RNA is filed under the name Vibrio parahaemolyticus. RNAcentral's name for it is "partial 16S ribosomal RNA". It matches the Rfam family "Bacterial small subunit ribosomal RNA", at positions 927 to 1208 of the family's 1533-position model. Lineage: Bacteria; Pseudomonadati; Pseudomonadota; Gammaproteobacteria; Vibrionales; Vibrionaceae. The record is from RNAcentral.